RNAcentral lists this ribosomal RNA (437 nucleotides) under uncultured bacterium. Its description in RNAcentral is "bacterial SSU rRNA". It matches the Rfam family "Bacterial small subunit ribosomal RNA", at positions 367 to 793 of the family's 1533-position model. The record is from RNAcentral.
CACAAUGGGGGAAACCCUGAUGCAGCCAUGCCGCGUGUGUGAAGAAGGCCUUCGGGUUGUUAAAGCACUUUCAGUAGGGAGGAAGGUAGUGUAGUUAACACCUGCAUUAUUUGACGUUACCUACAGAAGAAGCACCGGCUAACUCCGUGCCAGCAGCCGCGGUAAUACGGAGGGGUGCGAGCGUUAAUCGGAAUUACUGGGCGUAAAGCGCAUGCAGGCGGCCUGUUAAGUCAGAUGUGAAAGCCCGGGGCUUAACCUCGGAAUUGCAUUUGAAACUGGCAGGCUAGAGUCUUGUAGAGGGGGGUAGGAAUUUCAGGUGUAGCGGUGAAAUGCGUAGAGAUCUGAAGGAAUAUCAGUGGCGAAGGCGGCCCCAUGGACAAAGACUGACGCUCAGAUGCGAAAGCGUGGGGAGCAAACAGGAUUAGAUACCCUGGUAG